GCUCUGAGGUCCCUAGUGCCGCCUGCAGC
Molecule: non-coding RNA, 29 nt
Filed under: Rattus norvegicus (Norway rat)
Lineage: Eukaryota; Metazoa; Chordata; Mammalia; Rodentia; Muridae
Source: RNAcentral